Molecule: unclassified non-coding RNA, 298 nt
Organism: Pongo abelii (Sumatran orangutan)
Lineage: Eukaryota; Metazoa; Chordata; Mammalia; Primates; Hominidae
Rfam family: Metazoan signal recognition particle RNA
About the family: The signal recognition particle (SRP) is a universally conserved ribonucleoprotein. It is involved in the co-translational targeting of proteins to membranes.
Source: Ensembl
GCCAGGCGUGGUGGCACGUGUCUGUGUUCCCAGCCACUCAGGAGGCUGAGGCAGGAGGAUCGGCGAGCCCAGGAGCUCUGGGCUGCAGUGCACAAUGCUGACUGAGUGUGCACACUAAGUUUGGCACCAAGAUGGUGACCUCCCAGGAGAAGAGGACCACCAGGUUGCCGAAGGAGGGGUGAUCCGGCCCAGGUCAGAAACAGAGCAGGUUAAAAUCCCGUGCUGAUCAGUAGUGGGACUGUGUCUGUGAACAGCCACUGCACUCUAGUCUGGACAACAUAGUGAGACCCCAUCUCUU